AUGCAGAAGCAUCUCUCACCCCCAUGCCCCAGCUAUCAGCAGCAGGUACUUAAGGAGAAAGUACAACAAACAGGACAGCAAUACAGCGUGACAUUCUCCUCCCACCAGCCCCAAGAGGAAGGUAUGAGCAGGGCCCAGGCAGCUCUCACCUCACUGUGGCCGUGCUCCCUUGCUCAGGACUCCCAGUCCUCUGUUCCUGUGCACCAGAGCCACCUACAGCUCCUUCAGACACAGCCUCCACCUCUUUCCUCUGGAUACCUUUUCCAAGGCCCAGCUCUGGCAGCUUCCUUUCAAUCUGCACUUCUACUGGCACUGUGCCCUCUUGCGCUGCCCCUGAUGCAGGCACUGCAGGCUGCUGCCCCCACAACCCCAGGCAGCCUCUGCCUGGGGGUCCCUGUACUGCUUCCAGGGCCUCACACACCAUCACUCCCUGGCCUAGAGGCCUCCCCUCUCCCAGCACUGCCUGCUCCCCACCUGUACCACACUCCAGCAGUCCCUGCCCCAUGGCCACCUCCUCUUGUGGCCCUGCCGCUCCCUCCACCACCUCUUCCUCUCCUGACCCAGCUCUGGCCCUCUCUCCAGACACCCCCAUCACCACCCCAUCAGAUUUUUGUUCCAUUGCUCCAUCCAUCUUUGCAGCACUGCCCAAAGAUAGGCUUCCACUCAAAAGCACUAUUGCUGAGCCCUCCUUAUCCCCUGAUGUUGCUGCCUGCUCCAAUGGAGUUGACCCUCCACUGGAAGGGUCCCUUCCAGCACCCACCCCAGCUUCUUGCCCAGGUGCUGUGCGUAAUGCAGGACCACUGCCUGAGUCCUUGGGCUCCUCCACAUCCUCUGCCCUUGGUUGAGAGCUGCCUUCCCCCUCAGGUGGUCUGUCAGGCUCAAAUGUCACUGUCCCACAGGCAUCCAUCUCCACCUGCUCUUCCCCUGAGACUCUCAGCUGAGAAAACUCAUUUGGUUUUAGGAUCUUUUCCUUUCCUGUGCAAAAUUCUGUAUCCCCUAACAUUCCUAGGAGAGCUCCAGGCUCCUCCACAGUCUUCUGCCCUUCAAAAGCAGCUUUUUCUGCAGCCCACACUGCUGCAGGGUCACCCACCUUAG
RNAcentral lists this long non-coding RNA (1095 nucleotides) under Pavo cristatus (Indian peafowl). RNAcentral describes it as "lncRNA (ENSPSTG00000002100.1)". The record is from RNAcentral. Lineage: Eukaryota; Metazoa; Chordata; Aves; Galliformes; Phasianidae.